AACCCUUGACAUCCUCGUCGCGGUUACCGGAGACGGUUUCCUUCAGUUCGGCUGGACGAGUGACAGGUGCUGCAUGGCUGUCGUCAGCUCGUGUCGUGAGAUGUUCGGUUAAGUCCGGCAACGAGCGCAACCCACACCCUUAGUUGCCAGCAGUCCGGCUGGGCACUCUAGGGGAACUGCCCGUGAUAAGCGGGAGGAAGGUGUGGAUGACGUCAAGUCCUCAUGGCCCUUACGGGUUGGGCUACACACGUGCUACAAUGGCAGUGACAAUGGGGUAAUCCCAAAAAACUGUCUCAGUUCGGAUUGUCGUCUGCAACUCGACGGCAUGAAGUCGGAAUCGCUAGUAAUCGCGUAACAGCAUGACGCGGUGAAUACGUUCCCGGGCCUUGUACACACCGCCCGUCACACCAUGGGAGUUGGGUUUACCCGAAGACGGUGCGCCAACCUCGGAGGCAGCCGGCCACGGUAAGCUCAGCGACUGGGGUGAAGUCGUAACAAGGUAACCAAGGGCGAA
Molecule: ribosomal RNA, 514 nt
Filed under: uncultured organism
Description: bacterial SSU rRNA
Rfam family: Bacterial small subunit ribosomal RNA
Source: RNAcentral